This 1488-nucleotide long non-coding RNA is filed under the name Oryctolagus cuniculus (rabbit). RNAcentral's name for it is "lncRNA (ENSOCUG00000030665.1)". The record is from RNAcentral. Lineage: Eukaryota; Metazoa; Chordata; Mammalia; Lagomorpha; Leporidae.
GGGCCUUGGCUAUGGUCCCUUCCUGGCCCUCCAGGUCCAGGCCCAACUCCCCUCCUCAUCCUAGAGCGUCGGGCCCUGCUACCAUCCUCGCCCUCCAGGGCCUGGGCCCUGUUCCCCUUGUUGCCCUCCAGUGCGGGACCUCACUUCCCUCUAUGCCGUCCAUGGCCCUGUCCUGCUCCCAUCGCUGCACCGUGCUCCCUUUGCUGCCCACCAGGGCCAUGCCCUCCUUACUGUCCUGGGCCAGGCCCUCCUUACUGUCCUGGGCCAGGCCCUCCUUCCCACUUCCCCCUCCAGGGCCUGGGACCUGAUACCUUCGCGGCCCUCAAGGGCCAGGCACUGCCCCCUCCUCACGCUCCAGGGCCUGACCCUGUUCUUCUCCUCACCCUCCAGGGCCAGGCCCGCUCCUCUUUCCACAGCCAAGGCAGGGCCCUACUCUCCUUGCUGCCCUCCAGUGCAGGCCUACUCCCCUCGUUGUGCUCCAGGGGCUUACCCUUCUCACUUCCUUGCCCACCAGGGCCUGGGCUGUGUUCCCCUUGCUGCCCACCAGGGCCAUGCUUCGCUCCCUCCUUGCCCCCCAGGGCUAGACCCUACUCCUCUCCUCACCAUGCUGGGCCAGGCCCUCCUCCCCACCUCUGCCUCCAGGGCCUGGGACCUGAUCUCCUCGCGGCCCGCAAGGGCCAGUCCCUGCCCCCUCCUCACCCUACAGGACUGGGACCUUCUCCCCUCCUCACCUCCAGGCCUAGGCCCUGCUGCCCUCCUCACCCUCCAGGGCCAGGCACUUCUCCCCUGAGGAACAGCCAUCACUACCCUCCAGGGCAUGGGUCCCACAACCUUCCUCACCCUCCAGGGCCAGGCCUGCUCCUCUUGGCCCACCAGGGCAGGGCCCUACUUCCCCCGCUGCCCUCCAGUCAGGACCCCACUCCCCUCUUUGGCCAAGAGGUCCAGGCACUGCUCCCCUCCUCAUCCUCUAGGGCCUGGACCCUGCUACCCUCCCUGCCUUCCAGGGAAGGGCCUUGCUCCCCUCCUAGCCCUCCAGUGCUGGGCCCUGCUCGCUUCCUUGCCUUCAGGGCCUGGGUCCUGCUCCCCAUGCUGCAUACCAGGGCCAGGCCAGCCUCCCCUCCUCACCCUCCAGGGCCUGGGCCUCAUCCCUUCCUUGCUCUAAAGGGCCGGGCCACGCUCCCCUCAAUACCCUCUAGGGCUGGGCCCAGCUCCCCUCCUCACCCUACAGGGUCAGACCCUGCUCCCCUCCUCGCCCUACAGGGUUUGACCCAACUCCCCUCCACGCCCUCCAAACCAGGACCCACUCCCCUCCUCAACCUCCAUGGCCUGGGCCCAACACCCCUCCUAGCCCUUCAGGGCUGGGCCCUGCUCCCCUCCUCACAGUCCAGCGCCAGGCCCCACGCCCCUCAGGAACGGCCAUCACUGCCCUCCAGGUCAUGGGCCCCACUCCCCUCCUCGCCCUCCAGGGCCAGGCCCCAAUCUCCUUGA